Molecule: long non-coding RNA, 399 nt
Organism: Mus pahari (shrew mouse)
Lineage: Eukaryota; Metazoa; Chordata; Mammalia; Rodentia; Muridae
Exons: 3
Source: RefSeq, a predicted model, not a curated record
AGAUCACUGCAAGAAGUCCUAGGAGUCACUCCAGCCGGAAGAGACACUCGGGGAAGCAUGAUCGUCAUGCCCUUCAUUCUGCUUCCUAGGCCGACUGGGACAGACGGUGUGGCCAAUGCUCACACCAUGGAGAACUCAUCCAGGGGCCCAAGAGAGACCAGGGAGCCUGCUCCUCCCACAAGGUCCUGGAGGGGCCUCUUGCAGAGAGCUGUGGCGUGCAUGUCCAAGUUCUUCAGGAGAAGACGCCGAUUGGCCCGAGACUGAGACCACUGGACUCCUAGACACUGGGCGGGGCCAAGGCCUGUGAUCAGGAUCAUCAACUGCUCAGGUCCUUGUUGUCCCAAGAAUCUUGUCCAGUGAUGUUGAAAUAAAUGCUGGCGUAUUUUACAUUGGUCUUUG